GAGGUAGACCUAUUAGCUAGUUGGUUGUGUAAAGGACUACCAAGGCUAUAAUGGGUAACGGAGAUUUAGUGAUCGAAACCGGAGAUGGAAGCUGAGAAACGGUUCCAAUGUCCAAGGAUAGCAGCAGGCGCGAAAAUUGCACACUCUUUAAUGGGGAUGCAGUUWUGAGGUAUGACAGAAAGGGUUAUCAAUAAAUAAGAUGACGUAAAGCUAUUAGAGGGAAAGUUUGGUGCCAGCAGCCGCGGUAAUACCAACUCUAAGAGUCUCUAUGCGAGUUGCUGCAGUUAAAAAGUCCGUAGUCUUUACGUAAUUAAAAAUGAAUGAUCAAGUUUCAUAUUUUUACGUUUAUAUAUGAGACGGAUUGGGAGCAUAGUAUAACUGGGUUAAGAAUGAAAUCUCACUACCCUAGUUGGACUAUCAGAAGCGAAAGCGAUGCUCUAAUACGUACUUUUAGAUAAAGGACGAAGGCUAGAGUAGCGAAAGGGAUUAGAUACCCCUGUAGUUCUAGCAGUAAACUAUGCCGACAGAAUGUUAGAUAUAUUUCUAGUGUUCAAGGGAAACCUUAAGUGAUCGGGCUCUGGGGAGAGUAUGCUCGCAAGUGUGAAAAUUAAACGAAAUUGACGGAGUUACACCACAAGGAGUGGAUUGUGCGGCUUAAUUUGACUCAACGCGAGGAAUUUUACCAGGGCUGAAUAUAUUUGAGAUUGAUUACAUGAAAUAUAUUUGAGUGGUGCAUGGUCGUUGUAAACUCAUGGAUUGAUCUUAAGUUCAACUGCUAAAAUGGGUGAGACUUUCAUAAACAGCUAUCUAACAGGUAGAGGAAGGGGAAGGCGAUAACAGAUCCGUGAUGCCCUCAGAUGUCCUGGGCUGCACGCGCAAUACAUUAUGUA
RNAcentral lists this ribosomal RNA (890 nucleotides) under Agmasoma penaei. RNAcentral describes it as "SSU rRNA". Lineage: Eukaryota; Fungi; Microsporidia; Thelohaniidae. The record is from RNAcentral.